Molecule: ribosomal RNA, 448 nt
Filed under: uncultured Mycobacterium sp.
Lineage: Bacteria; Bacillati; Actinomycetota; Actinomycetes; Mycobacteriales; Mycobacteriaceae
Description: bacterial SSU rRNA
Rfam family: Bacterial small subunit ribosomal RNA
Source: RNAcentral
GUCCCUACGGGAGGCUGCAGUGGGGAAUAUUGCACAAUGGGCGCAAGCCUGAUGCAGCGACGCCGCGUGAGGGAUGACGGCCUUCGGGUUGUAAACCUCUUUCGCCAGGGACGAAGCGCAAGUGACGGUACCUGGAGAAGAAGGACCGGCCAACUACGUGCCAGCAGCCGCGGUAAUACGUAGGGUCCGAGCGUUGUCCGGAAUUACUGGGCGUAAAGAGCUCGUAGGUGGUUUGUCGCGUUGUUCGUGAAAACUCACAGCUCAACUGUGGGCGUGCGGGCGAUACGGGCAGACUGGAGUACUGCAGGGGAGACUGGAAUUCCUGGUGUAGCGGUGGAAUGCGCAGAUAUCAGGAGGAACACCGGUGGCGAAGGCGGGUCUCUGGGCAGUAACUGACGCUGAGGAGCGAAAGCGUGGGGAGCGAACAGGAUUAGAUACCCUUGUAGUC